CCCUGCUUGGCCAGUGCUGAAAGUCAGCUGCAAACAGCCUAGUCUCCCCCCUCCCCUGCUUGGCCAGUGCUGAAAGUCAGGGCAGCCUCAUCGCCUCUUUUCAAAGCUCUCAAAGCACUUGUAGCUUAUAGUGUAUCUAGAACAUAAUGAAUACAAAAAAAGCAGCACAUAAAUAUAAAAAGAAGUUGUACAGUAGGACCUGAAGAACAAUAAUUGACGUCGACCUGAAAUCCAAAAGAUCAGAGUAUAAAGACAAAGUAUUAAUCCACCACUGCUCCACUUAACUGCUGAGCCUGUUCAAAAACGGAUUCCAACAUUCCCUUAAGGAAGCAGUAAAUCUCUCACUAGUUUUCAGAAAGUCCCUACAUGGCAUGUCAGUGCAAUCUGCGCUGUAAAUUUGGUCCAAACUCAACAUGCAAGACAAUGCCACUUUAAGCUACGGGCUUGUAACCAAGAGGUCCCCGGUUCAAAUCCCACCUCAGCCACUGACUCAUUGUAUGACCCUGAGCAAGUCACUUAACCUCCUUGUGCUCUGUCUUUCGGGUGAGACGUAGUUGUAAGUGACUCUGCAGCUGAUGCAUAUUUCACACACCCUAGUCUCUGUAAGUCGCCUUGGAUAAAGGCGUCUGCUAAAUAAACAAAUAAUAAUAAUAAUAAUAAUAAUGAACACAAGUUCCCAGCUCUGCCAUGGACCGUGUCACCUCUUGCAAUAUUUUUUUAAAAUGUUAACAAUACCACCUUCCUGAGACAUAUAAACCUGAUAUUUUGUGAACCUAUUUCCUUUGUAUUUUGACCAUGUUUUUUAUAAAAUCACCCCUGGGAGAAAUCAUUAUAAAGAUUACUAUAGAGUUAAAGGGCAGCAGUAUUUUACAGUAGAUCACUCAAAUAGACCCCACUGAAUUCUGGUUAUACUUGGUACAUCAUAAUCACUAAAUCAAAAAGCAUGCCUGUGCAUAAUGGAAACAAGCACCCAUUAAUCAACAAUCUGGGUUUCUGAUAAGCUCUUCAAAAUCAUAAACAUUAUGGUGUUAGUUAAGCAUUCUUCUUUAGCUCGAACCAUCUGUAUCCAUCCACUGACCAAGGAUGUUUCCUGAGCAUUGAGGUUUAACAUAAUCUUGUUAUUUCUCCAAGAAAUCAUUGAGUUUGGGUCUAAACUUCCUGCUCUACCCUAAACUAUGCUGUAUAUCAAUACCAGGUCCUCACUAAACAUGUGUGGAGGUCAACAUUAGUAAAUCUAAAAUCCUUGGGGGACACAGGGUGAUACAAUUUCCACCUUGUUUCUCAACCAAUUAAAACACUAUCCUACUACAAAACUCGUAGACUGCUCCUUCAUCAGUCAUGUACAGUAGGUCACAAAUGCCUCAGAUUUGUAAGGUUGGUUAAAGUGGCUGCAAUACCCAACAAACGAGGGAACUAGACAUCAGAAUAGCAAGUGUACAGUUUGUCUGGAGAUAGCACUGAAUGACUGAUUUUGCCAGACCGAUCUCCGAUUAAAUCAAAGUAUUCAAAAACAGUGCAAUGAAAAUAACUAAUUCCUGUGUUUGUGUGCUUUUCAUUUUGACUGAGAAUAUGCUACACAUGCACUUGUUUCUUUCUUAUAAUCCUACAAGAGAAGCAACCACAUUCAAACUCUGGGCCCUACAGUAUUUAGUAAUGGUUGCAAGGACAAAGGCAAAUUUACACAUAUUCAUGCUAUAAAACUAGUAAUAAACAACUUAGUUGCAGCUUGGAGCAUGUACAUUAUAGUUCACAUUGCUUUAUUCCUUUCAGAAAAUGUCCCUUUGUACUUGUUGCUUAAAAUAACCUGUUGGGUAAUAUAAUUGAGUCAUGAAAUUGAAAAGAAAUUGAAUACUGGUAUUUUAAAAUGGAACAAUAAGUAACUAAUUAACAUGAAGUUAUUGAACACUUGACAUGCAAUGUUAAUGUUUAACCACUUCCCUGCUGCAAUAACAAAUUAGGACUCUCACUUGUCCUAGUUGCUACACUAUUUUGAUAGAUGCAGUCAUUCAAGAACUGUGCUGUUUACUUCAAUGAACUCCUACCUCUGAACUUUUUUUCACUGACACAGGAUCACAAGAAAUGAUACAGUACAUUAUCAGUUACCCUUCUUAGUCACCCCAUCUUGAGAAUGUUCUGUCUGCUGAUACGGUUCCUGUUUCUUUAAAGCGAUAGGUUUGGGAGAACACAGACCCUGUGCUUGCUCUGCCCACUCAGCAUGUCUCGCUGUUCUUGAUCAGAUAAAGAGACAACACAUGCAUUUUUGAUACUGCUGUUUUAUCUCCUUUGUAAAAGGAUUAUGAAUAUUAUUUCGAUCUAAAAUAAAGUGGACUAUAAUUGUAGCCCUGUCUCAGGUGUGGCUCUUUUGGAAAAGGAUCCAACCACACUGAAGGUCUGGGUCCUCACUUUCAGAUCCUCACACCUAGUAUGGCAAAGGGCUGUUAACCUAGUAAUGGCUUCAAUCAAACGGCAUGGUAAAUAAGAAAAGCAGAAUUGUAAACCUGGUUGCUUUUCUGCAAAGGAGAAUCCGCCCCUAACCUACACGUCAUCAACAAGUGCAUAAUGCUCAGUGUGUUCUUCUUUCAUUUCGCUUCUUUUUUGUUGUUUCGGCAGCUCAGUCAAGCGCUGGGAGGCCGAAACGGGAGUUGACCGCUUAGAGCCUGAAGGAAGGGCUGCCCUCAGCCACGGAUUUCCUGAGGUUUCCCCCUAAAAAAUUAAAAAUAUAAACUUGAAACUUUGGGAAACCUUGGUGGAUUACCGCAGUGAGGAAAACUCAGGACAAGUCAUUAAUCUGUGGAAGGGAGCCAAGAGGCGGUGAGAGGAAACCCACUGCAGUAGCACGGAGAAACCCAGUGCUUCCUUUGUUGUUUUUGUAACCCCGAUGUUUUUGUUUACUCUUUUUAUUUGAAACCUGAGUUUACCAUUGCUGGUAUUCCAGGUGGUUUUCUUGUUUAUUUUCUGCAAUACUGGACUGUUUUAUUUUAUUUUCAUUGUUUGUUAAAAUAAAAUCCUGCCCCGAUACCAUUGUUGGUACAGGGCCCCAGGACUAAACGUCA
Acipenser ruthenus (sterlet) is the source of this 3053-nucleotide long non-coding RNA. RefSeq lists it as uncharacterized. The record is from RefSeq and is a predicted model, not a curated record. The transcript has 2 exons. NCBI's taxonomy places the organism in Eukaryota, Metazoa, Chordata, Actinopteri, Acipenseriformes, Acipenseridae.